RNAcentral lists this transfer RNA (73 nucleotides) under Alteromonas mediterranea U4. RNAcentral describes it as "tRNA-Asp". The stretch from base 1 to 61 matches the Rfam family "tRNA". From Rfam's summary of the family: Transfer RNA (tRNA) molecules are approximately 80 nucleotides in length. Their secondary structure includes four short double-helical elements and three loops (D, anti-codon, and T loops). Lineage: Bacteria; Pseudomonadati; Pseudomonadota; Gammaproteobacteria; Alteromonadales; Alteromonadaceae. The record is from RNAcentral.
GGAGCGGUAGUUCAGUUGGUUAGAAUACCGGCCUGUCACGCCGGGGGUAUGCUUCGUGCUAUGGUUCGCGUUU